CCGUAACUAUAACGGUCCUAAGGUAGCGAAAUUCCUUGUCGGGUAAGUUCCGACCUGCACGAAUGGCGUAAUGAUGGCCAGGCUGUCUCCACCCGAGACUCAGUGAAAUUGAACUCGCUGUGAAGAUGCAGUGUACCCGCGGCAAGACGGAAAGACCCCGUGAACCUUUACUAUAGCUUGACACUGAACAUUGAGCCUUGAUGUGUAGGAUAGGUGGGAGGCUUUGAAGUGUGGACGCCAGUCUGCAUGGAGCCGACCUUGAAAUACCACCCUUUAAUGUUUGAUGUUCUAACGUUGGCCCGUAAUCCGGGUUGCGGACAGUGUCUGGUGGGUAGUUUGACUGGGGCGGUCUCCUCCUAAAGAGUAACGGAGGAGCACGAAGGUUGGCUAAUCCUGGUCGGACAUCAGGAGGUUAGUGCAAUGGCAUAAGCCAGCUUGACUGCGAGCGUGACGGCGCGAGCAGGUGCGAAAGCAGGUCAUAGUGAUCCGGUGGUUCUGAAUGGAAGGGCCAUCGCUCAACGGAUAAAAGGUACUCCGGGGAUAACAGGCUGAUACCGCCCAAGAGUUCAUAUCGACGGCGGUGUUUGGCACCUCGAUGUCGGCUCAUCACAUCCUGGGGCUGAAGUAGGUCCCAAGGGUAUGGCUGUUCGCCAUUUAAAGUGGUACGCGAGCUGGGUUUAGAACGUCGUGAGACAGUUCGGUCCCUAUCUGCCGUGGGCGCUGGAGAAUUGAGGGGGGCUGCUCCUAGUACGAGAGGACCGGAGUGGACGCAUCACUGGUGUUCGGGUUGUCAUGCCAAUGGCACUGCCCGGUAGCUAAAUGCGGAAGAGAUAAGUGCUGAAAGCAUCUAAGCACGAAACUUGCCCCGAGAUGAGUUCUCCCUGAGACUUUAAGUCUCCUGAAGGAACGUUGAAGACGACGACGUUGAUAGGCCGGGUGUGUAAGCGCAGCGAUGCGUUGAGCUAACCGGUACUAAUGAACCGUGAGGCUUAACCUU
Molecule: ribosomal RNA, 997 nt
Filed under: human gut metagenome
Description: bacterial LSU rRNA
Rfam family: Bacterial large subunit ribosomal RNA
Source: RNAcentral